AUGGCGGCGGAGUCUGCCUGGUGCUGGCCGUGGCUCGGCUCCGGCGCGGCGUGUUUCCUCUUCUUCAACGUCGUCGUCGGCGCCGUGGCCGUCUUGUCCUGGGCGCAGGGCGGCGACGAGCAGGUGGCUAGGCGGAGGAGGCUCACCCGGAGCGCGUCGUCCAUGGUCAUGGAGCGCCUCCGCUCCAUGUCCGUCUUCGCCGCCUUCCACUCCGUGCCCGAGCACGACUACGACAGCGGCCUCACGCCGCCGGCGUCGCCGUCGCAGCUCCACCACGUGCAAGAGUACUACACGUCGUCGCAAGAAGAGGGAGGAGAGGAGAUCAGGCACGCGGUGAGGCCAGAGCCGACCCUGCCGGCCGGAGAAAGCAUGACGGCAACGGUGGCUCCGUCGACACAGAGUGCUCCUGGUGCAGCAGCCGAAGCGGGACUGCGUUCAGCGGCUUCGAUGUCAGGGAGCGACAAGGCAGGAGCAGAGACGCGGACGGAGACGUCUAGAUGCUUGGGAGACGCGUGCACAGCAGUAGCGUUAGCGUUCCGGCAGCGAGACGCGCCGGCGCCGGAGCCAACGCCAGCCACGGCGGCCGCCAAGGGUGCUACGACGGAGAAGCUGAGGAAGCGGGAGCCGGCGAAGGUGGCGGAGAUCGUCGAGCGGCGCGCGUACGCGGAGGUAGAAGAGAAGGCGGAGGUGAACGCGCGGGCCGAGCGGUUCAUCCGGCAGUUCCGGGAGGAGCUCAAGCUGGAGCGCAUCAAAUCCAUGCUCAACCAGAGCGCCGCCGCCGCCGCAUCGGCACGGUAG
RNAcentral lists this ribosomal RNA (798 nucleotides) under Triticum aestivum (bread wheat). Its description in RNAcentral is "partial small subunit ribosomal RNA". The record is from RNAcentral. Lineage: Eukaryota; Viridiplantae; Streptophyta; Magnoliopsida; Poales; Poaceae.